AGAGUUUGAUCCUGGCUCAGGAUGAACGCUAGCGGGAGGCCUAACACAUGCAAGUCGAACGGGAUUGGGAGCUUGCUCCCAUGAGAGUGGCGCACGGGUGAGUAACGCGUAUGCAACCUACCUUUAACAGAGGGAUAGCCCAUAGAAAUGUGGAUUAAUACCUCAUAGUUCUGAGAUUUCGCAUGGAAUUUCAGAUAAAGCUCCGGCGGUUAAAGAUGGGCAUGCGUGACAUUAGCUAGUUGGUAAGGUAACGGCUUACCAAGGCUACGAUGUCUAGGGGUUCUGAGAGGAUGAUCCCCCACACUGGUACUGAGACACGGACCAGACUCCUACGGGAGGCAGCAGUGAGGAAUAUUGGUCAAUGGGCGCAAGCCUGAACCAGCCAUCCCGCGUGAAGGAUGAAGGUCCUAUGGAUUGUAAACUUCUUUUAUACACCAAGAAAAACUCCCACGUGUGGGAGCCCGACGGUAGUGUAUGAAUAAGCAUCGGCUAACUCCGUGCCAGCAGCCGCGGUAAUACGGGGGGUGCAAGCGUUGUCCGGAUUCAUUGGGCGUAAAGAGCGCGUAGGCGGCUUGUUAAGCGAGAUGUGAAAACCGGGGGCUUAACCCGCGGCCUGCAUCUCGAACUGGCAGGCUUGAGUCUGGUAGAGGAAAGUGGAAUUCCCAGUGUAGCGGUGAAAUGCGCAGAUAUUGGGAGGAACACCAGUGGCGAAGGCGGCUUUCUGGGCCACGACUGAUGCUGAGGCGCGAAAGCUAGGGGAGCAAACAGGAUUAGAUACCCUGGUAGUCC
Molecule: ribosomal RNA, 789 nt
Filed under: uncultured bacterium
Lineage: Bacteria
Description: bacterial SSU rRNA
Rfam family: Bacterial small subunit ribosomal RNA
Source: RNAcentral